ACUCAGAGCUUCACCACGCCUGCAGAGAAGAUAAUGUGUGUUUUGGGGGGGGUGUGUGGGGACUAAGUAAAUCUGUAUCAGCCUCCACAGUUGCUGGACUCCUGUCUCCGCUGUAGCUCUGCUGGGAGUCAAACUCAAUUAUAUACAACCUUCUUAACUGAUUCCACCACUGAGAGGCCCAAAUGUGAGCUUUUAACAUCACACCCUCAUCGACAGCCCAGGACCUGGAAUCUGAGUAAUGUGUUCAUGUUGUAGCUACAGUCUAUGUCCCGUUAUGACGAUUACAAAGAAACCUCAAAAUCCAAAUAUAACACUGUUCAGUAUUCAGUGUCACUCAUUACCUUUAUUACGGCUUCCGUUCAUUUCAGGAGACUUGAUGGAAGAUUUCUACAGGGAGAUUCACUCGAAAGAGGCCCAGAAUACUCUGCAAUAACCCUCGCUAAGACGAGGCAAUCUGAAUGACACAAUGUGCAAUGUGCUCCUCGGUAUAUGCAGUUUCACACAAACUGAGAUGCUCCUGUGUCAGCGUGAUAAGAAAACGGAGAGCACUUCCAGCACUGCAUGUAAUGCAAUCAAUCACACAUAUGUCAAGGUAUGUAGUAUAUUUUUUUGGUUCAGAUUACUUCAUCAUAAUUGGAGUUAGACCAGAAUAUUCAGGGCCUCUUUCGAGUGAAUCUCCCUGUAGUUCUAUGAGGUUUUACACUUCUGUGUCUGGAUCUUACAUCUUAUAGUCCUGUUCUGUGUGCUUGUCCGUUGCACCCUUUUGCAGGUGGGCUUUUAUUGCUCCUAGAUGUUACUGCUUUACAAUAACACUGACAUUUGACCAGGGCAGCUCUAGCAGGGCAGGAAUUUGACAAACUGACUUUUCAAACAUCCUGAGACAGAACCGUGUUGAGUCACUGAGCUCUUCAGUAUGACUCAGUCUACUGCCAGUGUCUGUCUAUGAAGGUUGCUUGAUUUCAUGCAUAUGAGUAUCUACACGUUUGGAGAUGAGUAAUGAGUAUUAAUGAGUUAUUGCAUAAUGAAUAAACUGCAUCACAGGGUUUCAGUAACUAUCUGAUGUUCAGUGCAUUGAGCUUAUCAGAU
Long non-coding RNA from Pygocentrus nattereri (red-bellied piranha), 1086 nucleotides. Lineage: Eukaryota; Metazoa; Chordata; Actinopteri; Characiformes; Serrasalmidae. The record is from Ensembl.